UGUUUCUAAUUUUUCUAAAAUGUGUUUAUAAACACUUGUGUUUAAGGGGUUUUAGAUUGGAAAUUAUGAAGUCACUACUGUCUGUGACCUUUGUUCCUUGUUUCUUUUGGUCCCAUUCUCUUUAAUAGAAAGGGGGGCAUAAAGAAUAUGGAGUAAGCUACACGUCUAGCACAGCAUUCCACAGCUCUGGAUGAGAAGUCACUAUCACCCAUGUCAGUCCCAAAGGCAACACUUAGUUUUGUUUUAUUCUUAGUGCAAAUGUUAUGUUUUGAAAAAAUUCAGUAAAUUCUGUUUGGUUUGAGCAAUUGAAGCACAAGAGAACUUCUUCUCUCCCCACACCAGCUUUGUAGAUCUCAAAACUCCCUUAUUAAUAUUCCCCAUUUGUCAUGAACAUAGUCUUCAUUCAUGGAUGAAUGCUGCUCUGGUAAAUAUGAGCAAAAAGUAGGGUUAAACAUAAUUACACUAUAAUUGUUAGCAAUUUACAUUCUUUAUUUGUGUAAUAUGGGAGUUCUCCUAAUCUUAAUGGGAUCUCGCAGGGGGGGAGUUCCAGAUAUACACCUGCCCGAGCCCACUGAAAUUACUGCAGUCUUGCUUAUUUCAAUAAUUAGGCACAGCAUACACAAUGCCUCUGAUGUGAUUAUACUUGCUUCCAGAUUACACCCUCCACCAUCGUAUAUGUAAUAAUCUGCUUCCAAGAAUGAAGUUUAGUCCUUUAAUGAUGAAGAUGGUAACUUCCCCCUUCUCCCCAACACACACAGACAUGAGGUUCAUGGCAGCGACAUAGGAAAUAAAUACACAAGUAAAGAGAGCAUACUGGUAUAGAAAGAUUAGCUCAUUAACUUUUGUGAUGCAAUACUAUUCAAAAACAUAACAAAUACAAAGAAUAAAGAGCUGGUUAGAAAAUGUUUUUCUGUAGGAAAAAAUGUUUUCAGAGAAAAAUUAAAAACUGAAAUAUUUCAGUUCUGAAGUUUUGCCACCGGGUCCCAUGUAAGUUGUAAUUCAGGUGCAUCUCCUGUUCUCCUCUAUAAGCCAGGCUCCCUGGUCAGACUACACCUCCCAUAAUGUAUCCCAGUCUCCCCUCAGUAGCAUUUUAGGGGUAGGAGGGUGAGGCAUCAUGUGGCCAUAGUGCAUCAUGAAAGAUGAAGUCAAGCAGGGGCCUGGCCCACAGAUGAGAAUAGCAGCAUGGGGCACCACAGCAGCACUUCACAAGUGAAAUGUCUUGAUAUUCAGUUUUCGGGGGGGGGGGGGGGGGGCAGAUAAUUUGAACAAAUUGUUUAGUCUAAAAUGCAAUUUUCCAUUGAAAAUCAGGUUUGAUGGAAAUUUUCAAUCAGCCAUAGUAUGUUUAGAAAUUCCUACCUUGAUCAGCUUUAAGCAUUCCAGUGGCAAAGCUGACCACUGGCUAUAUAAACAGUAUGGCUAGUUUUCUAUAUAACACUGUUUAGUCAUAUUAAUUUAAGUCACCUUAUUUUCAGGGGUGCUGAGCACCUGCCCUUCCAGUUAAAAAAAAUCAAUUGCAGAUGUAGGUGUUCAGCACUUUUAAAUACUAGGUCCUCUUUUGUAAGGCUCUCUUUCAGAUAAACUUUCUACAUCAUCCCCAAGCUGAGCUUUUCCUUAAGAAAAACCCGCCUUCUUCAGCCUGCUGUAAGGACAUGGUCUUCAGUCCCUUUUUAUUCAGCUAGCAGCGUUAUCCUUUGCUGUAGCCCAGUUCAGCUUUGUCUCAGAAACAAAAUCACACACACUGGAAAAGAAACAGAUUCUCUUUUCAACCUGGCAUGUGCUUGCUCCUGGUACCAGCAUACUCUCUUUAUACACUCUCCAUUUCCAAACUGUAAAGUGCACCUGAGGGUGAGGGCAUGACUUGUAGUUAGCUGUGGAGACCAUCAUUCCCCUCCUACAUGCACUAAUAAUUAAAGUAACAUACCCAUUUAUUCUUUUUGAGAGUUAUUCCAUUUCUACAAUCCAUUCCUUAGAAAAUCUUACCCCAAGUAUCACAAAAAAUUAUAACGUCUAGACUGAUACAAACGUAAUAUAUAACAUUCUGCUUUGGCUGGGCUGCUUGUACUCAGAGGUGUUAGCUGGACUUGUUUUUCUUUCUCCCUUUCUAUUAAUUAGCCUACCAUAUGUGAUGUGUAAAGAGUUGCAGCCUCUAGGGUCCCAAGUCCCAGAAUGAAUGUGUAUAAUGCAAGGCCAGAUUUUCAAAAGAGCUCAGCCUCCAAUGUUCCAAGUGCUUUUGAAAAUCUGGCUCCAAACAGUGGGAGCUGAUCACUUUCAGACAUGAUCAUAUCUCAAAAACACACCAACCCCCCCCCCCACCACCACC
Long non-coding RNA from Dermochelys coriacea (leatherback sea turtle), 2320 nucleotides. RefSeq lists it as uncharacterized. The transcript has 2 exons. The record is from RefSeq and is a predicted model, not a curated record. Lineage: Eukaryota; Metazoa; Chordata; Testudines; Dermochelyidae.